This 450-nucleotide ribosomal RNA is filed under the name uncultured bacterium. RNAcentral's name for it is "bacterial SSU rRNA". It matches the Rfam family "Bacterial small subunit ribosomal RNA", at positions 354 to 796 of the family's 1533-position model. The record is from RNAcentral.
GUGGGGAAUAUUGGACAAUGGGCGAAAGCCUGAUCCAGCCAUGCCGCGUGUGUGAAGAAGGUCUUCGGAUUGUAAAGCACUUUAAGUUGGGAGGAAGGGUAGGAACCUAAUACGUUGCUACUUUGACGUUACCGACAGAAUAAGCACCGGCUAACUUCGUGCCAGCAGCCGCGGUAAUACGAAGGGUGCAAGCGUUAAUCGGAAUUACUGGGCGUAAAGCGCGCGUAGGUGGUUCAGUAAGUUGGAAGUGAAAUCCCCGGGCUCAACCUGGGAACUGCUUUCAAAACUGCUGAGCUAGAGUACGGUAGAGGGUGGUGGAAUUUCCUGUGUAGCGGUGAAAUGCGUAGAUAUAGGAAGGAACACCAGUGGCGAAGGCGACUACCUGGACUGAUACUGACACUGAGGUGCGAAAGCGUGGGGAGCAAACAGGAUUAGAUACCCGUGUAGUCC